UUGAUGAUGACGCUUUCGAGGAGAUUGAUAGGCUUUGACGCGAUGGAGGUUCUGCAGCAGACAUGCCAACGUAUCUCCGGAAGCUCAAUGUGUCCCGAAGGGAUGCAGCGCUACUUCUGAUUGUUGCGGGGCCGCGAAGUGGAAAGACCUCUACAAUGGUCGCACGUAUUCUGACACUGUUAAACGAGGGGGUAGACUCCAAGAACAAUGACCUUCACAACAGCUGCUGCAACGGAGAUGAUGGACCGCGUCGCUGCUGUGGUGGGGG
Long non-coding RNA from Selaginella moellendorffii, 268 nucleotides. RefSeq lists it as uncharacterized. The transcript has 3 exons. NCBI's taxonomy places the organism in Eukaryota, Viridiplantae, Streptophyta, Lycopodiopsida, Selaginellales, Selaginellaceae. The record is from RefSeq and is a predicted model, not a curated record.